Molecule: non-coding RNA, 415 nt
Organism: Tachysurus vachellii
Lineage: Eukaryota; Metazoa; Chordata; Actinopteri; Siluriformes; Bagridae
Source: the annotation of a RefSeq genome assembly
AUUAUUGAGAGUCACUAUGAUCAGAGUUCUAGUCAUUUUUCAGUCACUCUACUGGAUUCAAGGAAUUACAGGGGCGAAUGAUGUCCAUCAGCCCAAUACACUCUGGGUUAAAGUGGGCCAGUCAGCCACAAUAAACUGCUCACACACCAAAGAUGCAAGUCACAAUCAGAUGUACUGGUAUCGUCAGUACCAUGGAGAAAGCAUGGAGCUCAUAGUGUUCACUACCAGCUUUGGAACUCUAGACUUUGGAAACUUCAACAAGAGUAAAUUUUCAGCUAUUAAAUCAGUUCCUGAGAGCGGCUCAUUCACAGUGAACGAUGUGAAUUAUAAUGACAGCGCUGUGUAUUUCUGUGCUGUGAGAGUACACAGUGUUUUAACCACAAGGCAGAGCUGUACAAAAACACUGUACGUCUAA